UACGUAGGUGACAAGCGUUGUCCGGAUUUACUGGGCGUAAAGAGCGCGCAGGCGGUCGUUCAAGUCGAGUGUGAAAGCCCCCGGCUCAACUGGGGAGGGUCAUUCGAUACUGAUCGACUGGAAGGCAGGAGAGGGAAGUGGAAUUCCCGGUGUAGUGGUGAAAUGCGUAGAUAUCGGGAGGAACACCAGUGGCGAAGGCGGCCUACUGGGUCAGUACUGACGCUGAGCCGCGAAAGCCAGGGGAGCGAACGGG
This 253-nucleotide ribosomal RNA is filed under the name uncultured bacterium. RNAcentral describes it as "partial 16S ribosomal RNA". It matches the Rfam family "Bacterial small subunit ribosomal RNA", at positions 524 to 776 of the family's 1533-position model. The record is from RNAcentral.